UUCUCAUCAAGUUCUCAAAACCCAAUACCAACAAUGUUUGCUACUAGUUCAACUACACCAUUCUCGGCAUAUGAUCCUCAACAAUAUUAUCGUCCUACUAUGCCGUCUACAAAUAUUUUUGGUAUACAACAUACUGAUGAUGAGGUUGUCGUUGAAGAUGUUGAUGAAGAUGAUUCAAACGAGGAGGAGCCACAAUUGGUGACACGUGGAAGAGCAAGAAUCUCACAGCGGAAUGAACAACAAUUAAGAGUUCAACCACCAAGAAGGAGAAAACCACCUCCAUGUGGCACUUCAUCACACAGACGUCAUUAAAU
This 314-nucleotide long non-coding RNA is filed under the name Lupinus angustifolius (narrow-leaved blue lupine). RNAcentral's name for it is "long non-coding RNA (LANG_LNC001751)". Lineage: Eukaryota; Viridiplantae; Streptophyta; Magnoliopsida; Fabales; Fabaceae. The record is from RNAcentral.